Molecule: ribosomal RNA, 440 nt
Filed under: uncultured bacterium
Lineage: Bacteria
Description: partial 16S ribosomal RNA
Rfam family: Bacterial small subunit ribosomal RNA
Source: RNAcentral
CCUACGGGGGGCAGCAGUAGGGAAUAUUGCUCAAUGGGGGAAACCCUGAAGCAGCAACGCCGCGUGGAGGAUGAAGGUUUUCGGAUUGUAAACUCCUUUUGUUAGAGAAGAUAAUGACGGUAUCUAACGAAUAAGCACCGGCUAACUCCGUGCCAGCAGCCGCGAUAAUACGGAGGGUGCAAGCGUUACUCGGAAUCACUGGGCGUAAAGCGCGCGUAGGCGGGAUAGCAAGUCAGAUGUGAAAUCCUAUGGCUUAACCAUAGAACUGCAUUUGAAACUGUUAUUCUAGAGUAUGGGAGAGGUAGGUGGAAUUCUUGGUGUAGGGGUAAAAUCCGUAGAGAUCAAGAGGAAUACUCAUUGCGAAGGCGACCUGCUAGAACAUAACUGACGCUGAUGCGCGAAAGCGUGGGGAGCAAACAGGAUUAGAUACCCCAGUAGUC